CAACCCCAGAUUCAACAUUAAAAGUCCACAAUAAUUUGUCAAACAAACAAACGAAAAUACAGAAAGACAGCAAGAUUAUCCAGCUAAUUAGUCCUUAAACAAUACAAGUUUAGAUUGGCCAACUGCAUGGAAAACUAUAAUUAUAUUGUUCUAUUUCCUCAUUGCAUGCGUGAAAAGAGAAGGGAAAGCCCUGCCAAGUCUGAACACAAAUAUUUAUGACUAGUUGCAUUGUUACGUACCUGCCAACGCAUCAAGAAGAGUUGACUUGCCACAACCAGAAGGACCCAUGAUGGCCAAUACCUCACCCGGCUGAGCAUACCCGGCUAGCCCCUGAAGGAUUGCCCGGCGUCCACUUUCGUCGUCAGAGACAGUCACCCACAGGUCCUUCCAUGUCAAGAAUACGCCGUUGAGGCCAAUAUCAUUGCACGUAAAGAAGUUCUCGACUCCAUUGUGCUGUAAACCUAAUUCCGUUUGUAGUGACGUAAUAAGGUUGGAUUCAAUUCUUAGGGAGGGAAGUUCAUGGAUAUCUGAAUGUGGAGGUGGUCCAGUAUUAUCAGAUAUGGAAGCAACGCUGAAAGGAAACAGCCUUCCCAUGGUGGAAGACCUGUCUUCCUCAGAAACUAUGCUCCCAGUCUCCAGAUCAUCAACUCUCUCACUCUUCAUGGCCUCUUUUGGAGGCGAUGUAGUUGGGCUCGGACCUGGCGCCCAUCUGGGCACAUAAACUUGAGACUCCAUGGGAGUAGUACUCAAGAUUCAAGCGCAACAACAAAGGGGAUCUAGACUAGAGUUAUGGGACCUUAUGUUUUUACUGGCUUGCGAGGUGUUGCAGCUCUAUGGGAACUAGGACCGCUAUUUAUACACAAAUUUGGAAGCACGAUAUCCGGUGAGAUAAGGGCUGUUUGGCUUUGGAAAACAGUUUUUAACAAGUUUUUGGUGUUUUUUUCUCUUUUUAAAUUGUGUUUAAAAAAUGAAAUUUGGAAAACAAUUAUUAUUAUAUAUAAAAAAAAUAUAUGUUUAAUUGUGUUAGUAAAACAGUUUAAUAGAACAAAUAAAAUAAAAAAUAUAUUUGAAAGUUGUUUUUUUAAUUAAUAAAGGAUUUUUUUAUAAUUAAUUUAAUAUUAUAAAUAUAUAAAUAAUUUUUAUAUGUAUAAUUUAUUUAAAUUAAAAAAAAUUAUUAUUUUGAUAUUUUUACAUAAAUUAUAAUUUUUUAAAAUAAAAAAUGAUUUUGUAAUAACAUGUAAAUAUAUUAAUUUUAUUUAAUAAUUUAAAAAAUAAAAAAGGGUUUGAGGGUAAAGUUUGGUAAUUGAUGGUUGAAUGAAAUUUUUCUUCGUGAAAACAUAAAAAAUAAUUUAAAAAAAUAUAAAAAUAAAAACACAAAAAAUAAUAUGUUUCUUAAAUAAGGAAAUUUUUUCUUAAAAAAAAUGGUUUUUAAAAACAUAACAGGAGGGAAAAAAAAUUACACUCCCUCCCUCAAACAUAUUUUUUAUAUUCUUUGUUUUUAAAAAUAAAAAAUAAUUAUUUGAAAACACCAACCAAACCGGCCCGCAGUCUCAUCAAUGUUCACCUUGGGUUGAAAAAGUCUUUCAAAGUCCACCUCAUCCAAUUUCAAUUUUAACCACUUCCAUAUAAAUACUAAGUACACAGUUCAUCGAUUAAGCACUGGCAUUUAUUAUUAAAACCCGAUCAGCUAGCUAACUUCUGGUGGUACGGCGCCAUCCCUCCUUGACUACCACCCGGCUUGGACUCAUUAAAGAUGUCUCGUUUGCAAGUCAAUAACAAUUGAAUUCGGAUCAGGAAACUGCCUCAAGAAAACAAUCCAAUACUUAGCCAUAAAUCAAGCACAGUGAAUUGAAAUGACUGAUAAAAAAAUUUCAAUUUCAACCACUUCCAUGUAGAUACUAAAUGCACAGUUCCUCGAUAAAAGCACUUGCAUUUUUUAUUAAAACCCCGACUGCCUGUUGGUAACGGCGCCAUCCUGCUCGACUCCCACCCGACUUGGACUCAUUAAAGAUGUCUCUUUUGCAAAAUCCAAUACUUAGCCAUAAAUCAAGCACAGUGAAUUGAAAUGACUAAUAAAAAAAAAUCUUUAUAGAUUUGGGUGGAUUUUCUUUAUUAAGAAUGGGUCGACCGUCGACCGCUCGAACUCGUGGGCACGAGUGGAUGGGUCAGGAAAUGAUGAAGUAUAUUUUUAAUUAAAAUGAACGAGGAAGAUUAAUAAUGAACCAUGCAUGCCUAUAAAGCAUAAUGCGGGCUGCUGUAGCUCCUCAUCCGCCGAUCAACAGUCACUUACGUAUGCCAUGACGACAUGAUAUGAAAAGAGAAGACACGAAAAAGGAUGAUGAAUGUAGUUGAAAAACAGGUCGCGAAAUUUAUAUUAAAUUUACUAGCUGCUACUGAGCUACAUAAUGAAGAUGAGGUCAGCACUUAUGGUAGGUUGGGCAACAAGUCUCUCUACAUGUCCACUGCUAGUCACCCAAUGCCUAUCCUGCAUUUAAGAGAAUACGAUUUCAAGGUGGUGUACUUGGCCAGGAAUCCCCAUUUACUAGUGGCGUGUUGGAAUUGACGCCCACUUCCAUAUUUUCUUCCAGUCUGCUGAGAAACAGCCUCCACAUUUAAUGAUGAAUUUGGACAUUCCAUGGAUUUCCAACCAACGCAAGGAAUGAGAAUUCCUCACAUGGAGGACUUCUUAGAAUUCUCUGUAAUUCUGUGAUCGUGGAAAAGCAAAAAAGGAAAAUGAAGACCCGAUGGGGUCAUCCAUUAGAAUGAGUCACUUAUGGAAAUUUGAAACUAGUGGGUAAUUGAUGUUUACAUAUCUAUGGAUUGGCUGAAUGCGACAGGUCUAAGCCUUGGCGAUUAAGGAAGACUAUAACACUAACUUAGAUAGUGGUGCACCUUGCACGCUAUCUUUCGAUUGGUGGAUUCGUGUAAGUCAAGGUCCAUCACUUGCCAGUUUCCAUGUCCUAAAUAUGCGUCCCUAGCUUUAUGUCUUUCACCCAAGGUUUCUAGAAAUCCUGUUUGAGUGGAAAGAGGAAUCCAUGGUGAUAUUCAACAUAUCCCUUGGAGCUCCUUUGAAGACAUCAUUGAUGAAGCAUUUUUACUUGGUAAAGUAGUUGUAAUUCACUAAUUUGUAUACAAAAUGUAUAGAUUUUUAUGAAAAAGGUAUGAAUUUAUGUUAUAUUCUUAAAAAUUAUUAUCUUUUAUGUUGAUGUCAAGUCAAUCGGAAGUAAUACUUCUUCCUUUUUUUUCUAUAAAAGAUGUCUGGACGGGUUGUUCGAACAUACCUCCGAAACUCAAGUUAGAUGAUUAAAGUCAAUUUUAGAGGUUUUCCUCCUUUAGAAGUUAAGAAGGAGCUUCUCUGGUGUAUAUAUGCACAUGUACCUCGAUUUUAAGAUGGAAGAGGGUUUUUAUAGUAUCUGGAACGAUGUCACAUUUGUGUUGAGAUGACUUCUUGACUUUUAUAGUCAUGAUGAUAGCACAGUUGGUGGCAGAGCAAUCAUCACCCUUUAAACUGCUGAUAGGGAUUACUAGUGAGGGGUGACCUGAUGGUUCACUUGUCACUUCAGUUCGUAGGCGGUAUGGAGCAGCGUGUAGCAAACCACCUGCAGAGAUAGGGUGACGUCUUAUCAAUCGUGCUCUUGACAUAGGGAGAAUGAUUGCUUGUGGGAGUAGGUAAGGAGACCCAUUCGGAGUGCAUUGCAUAGUUUUUAGAGGAACACCGCAUAACUGGCUAUUGAUGCUUCCAACCCGGAUUGGAUAUUCGGUCUGAUUACAUUCGUCCAGAUAGAGGUAUAAGGAUGUCACGUGGAGCCAAGGUGGCCUGCCACGUGGAGCCAAGGUGGCCUACCACGUGGAGCCAAGGUGGCCUACCACGUGGAGCCAAGGUGGCUUGCCACUAGGUCACACGGGAAGCCCCCUACAACAUCUAUAAGGGCUUUUACAUUUUAUGUUGGAGUUAUUAUAAUUUUUUUGUUUUUAAAAAUAGAAAUAAAUGAGAAGUUAAUGUUUGAAUAUAAAUUAAAAAUUUAUUUUGAUAGUAUUUUUUUAUAAUAUAAAAAGUGAAUUUUUGAAGAAUGCUCCAUCAAGUGAUUAUUUAUGAAUUAAUUUAAAUAAAUUUCUAAUUUUAAAAAAAUAAAAAAUUACUAAAUAUCUAACUUUUUCAGAAGGCAUUAGCAAAAAAAAAAAAAAAAACCUAUUAAAUGCUUGAAACACCAUCUAACGCCUCUCAAAAUACCUCCCAUGUGACCAAACUUCACUUUCUUCUACAAAACCUUUUCUCUUAUCAACUAAGUAUCAAGCUCCAUAUGCUUGGUUCUACCAUCAAUAAUAAGAUUCCCUACAAUUAAAAUUAUGCUCAAGUUAUAAUAUCAAAUAAUUAUUGGAUUGUAAAGUUUAAAUUAAUCUUGUUGCACUUUGUAGGGUAUGUCAAAAGUUCAGCUAUAGUUGUGCAAGUUUCGAGCUCAUUUGAAUUUUAUUUUAUUUUUCUUAUUAAAUGACAAACUUGCUCCAUUUAUGUAUUUAACUCUCUUAUAAUUUAAGAUUUUGUUUUAGGGAGAACAAAUUAAAGUGUGAUCACAAUUGGGUGGAAUAUGGUCGAGUCUUUGUUAUUGUAGUUUUUUCUCUUUCAUGUAAUUAGUGGAUGUAGGGAUCAAACUAAAUCAGGCAAUUAACAAUCUAAAGAUAUCUUUAUAAUAUAUAUGCCAAAAAAGAAAUCAUGACAAUAAAUUAUUAUAAAACAAGAAAUGACAUAUAAAGGUCUAUUAAUUGCUAGCCAUCGCAAACAAAGAACCAGGAAGGGUUGGCAAAAUGGUUACAAGUUGGCCCAACCCAAAACAGGCCCUAGAUCCACUUCCACUUUUGAGAAGCCUGAUCUGGAAGCCCAAUUGUCAGACGCAGAGUUUGAAACCUGUCGGGCCAACCCAAAGACGAAACACUGUCGUUUAGCCCACACUGGAGUGGGUUUUUUCCUUUUUGAAAAUCCAUCCUUCCCUGAAUCUAGCAAAUUUUACCCUGAGAAAAUCAUUUCACUUCACGUGCAAACAAUCGGACAGCCCACCCGAGACAUGCGCGCACUGUACACACUGACGGCAAUAUCGUUGUAAAACCCCACCACGCGCUCGCGUCCACAGUUCUCCAUCUAUUAAACCAAUAGAUAUCUGCCACGCCGUGAAAAUGAAAAAGCAAUUAGUCCAAUUCGCCACGCUCUCUAGCAUGUCAAUCAAUUAUUGGCAGACUCACUAUACUACCGUGGCAGUCGCAGCAUCUGAUCCAAUGAUUUCCUCUUUCAUUUAUGCAUCCUGGGCUUGGCUCAGUUGGCUGUGACUGAUCUUGAAUCUAGACAGAGAGUGUUCGAGAGAGAGAGAACGGAGUGGUGCGGUGAUGGCGAGUGGUGGAGGCUAUGGCGAUUCGAGCCAAAAGAUCGACUACGUUUUCAAAGUGGUUCUGAUCGGAGACUCCGCCGUGGGCAAGUCGCAGAUACUGGCACGGUUCGCUAGGAACGAGUUCAGUUUGGAUUCCAAGGCUACAAUCGGGGUUGAGUUCCAGACUCGAACCCUCGUCAUCCAACACAAGAGUGUCAAGGCUCAGAUCUGGGACACUGCCGGCCAAGAACGGUACCUUUACCAAAAUCGCAUCUCCAUUUCUUCUAAUUCAUUAUUUACUUACGCAUUCAUAUAUGCAUAAUGUUAGGGGUUUUGAUUCGAUGUUCUACUUGUUAUAUAUCUGUAUAUGCGGUGGAUUUGUUUCUUCUUUAUCUUUUUGGUUUAAAUAUCAAGAGAUCGGAGUGGCUUCAGAUCGACUGAAUCACUUGAAACACUGUUGGAUUCCGCGCACUUCUCAUGCAACCUUUUUUUUAUGAUUUUUUGGCGGAAUUGCUGUAAAAAUUAGUAUGUUUUGCGGCAGAAACGAAAAUCAAAUCAGUUUACCUGAUUCAACUCUUAUUCCUUAAGCAAUCACCUAACUCGCAAUGUAAGUGUGAAAUAUUUUGUAUCUAGAAAACCAAGAUAAAAUUUGCAAAAGUUAAACUGAAGUAUUGUUUUUUAUUCAAUAAUCAGCAGCAAGAGUUGCUGCCAGAUUAACAUUCUUGUUAAACAAGAAAAAGGAGGAUCACUAUUAGACUUUGGGAUUGCUUUUUGUUUUUGGCUUUAGCUAGACGUUGAAGCCAUAACCAUAGUCAUCAUUUUCAAAAGGCAGUAUUAGGACUAUGUAAUCUUCCUGUAUAAGCCAAAAAAAAAAAUAGAGCUUUUAAGAGAAGCAACAUUUUAUUGGUUUCUAUUUUAAAGCUAUGUUUUAAUCCAUUAGGUUUUUUAACAAAAUUGCCCAAAUGGGUGUAGAAGCCCUUAUUGAGCUUAAAAAGAGCCUUUAGCUUCUCUACAGCCAAUCCAAACAUGUCUUUAGUAUGUGGUACUCCAAAUUGAGUAGGACCUACCAAACAUGAUUACAUUGGAAUACCAGGAUGUUUGAAUUUAGCUAUUUAUGUCUCGUUAAAAUUCCAUUUUUGGCAAUCUAUUUUUAGCAAUUUUUUCUUUUAUUUUAGAUAUCAUUCAAAUAAUGUGUCAGCUUUUGUGUAUUUGUAGUGACUGAUGCUGACGUUAGUACUAACUGACAUAUGGAUCUUGUUGAAAAUCCCAUGCAUCUUGAACUUGUACUUUUUGGGAUCUUGGGCAUAACUUAAGCUUAUGGCUGACAACUAUACAGCCACUUCAUAAAAUUUAGAAAAACUAGCUUCACUUUCAAAUUUUCAAAUGAAAAAUAAGAUUUUGGGACAAGUGAAAUUCCAAAAUGUUCAUUCAGGAUACUGAUUCCUGUUAGUUAUUCUUUUCUCCUUUGGAAGAGACUACCACCCUGUUUCAAUAUACUUCAGUCCUCAGUACAAAUUAUAACAUUUGAUGAUUAGAAUCCAAGAAGACCUAAAAUUAUUUGAAGGUUCUCUGCUACUGCUGUUACUGUUAAUAUUAACUAUUACUACCGUUUUUGUUGGUCAUUAUUAAUUUAAUCUAUUUUUAUUGUUGGUUUUUAAUUGCAUCAAUUUAGUGAUUUUAUUAGUCUGGUAUGAUAUAGAUGUUUCUUCAUCUCAUUUAAACUAAUUGUUGACUUCUGUAUGCAUUUUUCUUUGGAAGAACUGUUAGUUGUUCUGGAUGACUGUCUGCUUUGGAGCAGGAAGUUUUUUGCACUUCGCAUUAUGUGCUUUUAGUUUCAAUUUUCUAACUUGAAAAACACAUUUAAUAAACUUUUGACCCACACUAGUUUCUUGAGAAUUUGUUCUAAAAACAAGUUGUUUUUAAACCAAGGGUGUUUUGAAGUGUUUUUUUUCAGUAUUCUGAAAACAAUUAAAAGUAUGGAAAAUACUUUGAGAAUUUUUACAUUAUAUAAAGGUGCACAACAUCUUCACCAAGAGUAAAUUGAAAAAACAGUUUUUCAUAUUCGAGUCCCCAAACAGAAUUUUGCUCUUGAAAACAAUUGAACACUAUUCUUAAGAAUUGUUCUAAAGAACUGUUCUCAAAAACUGUUUUUUUGAGAACUAUCUUUGAAAAUGUUGUCAAAUAGACCCUUAAUUUUUUAGAUUUCUUUUUUACCAAGUUUGAGACCAACACUUCAUUCCACCUCAAGCCUUACAUCUAAUCUCAUUUAGAAAAAAAAAAGGCCUCAAGAUCAGAUUUAGCUUUUCAAAACAUUGAUUAGAACUGACAUAGAAUAGGACUCUUUACUCUCCUAUAAUAAACAGUGAGCAUUUUCACAAAAGCAGAAUGGUCAUCAUAUCAGUGUUAUACACACUACUUUGAUGCACCUAGUAUUGAACAAUUUUUAACACUGAUGAUGUCUUAAUGAGAUGAAUGAUACUAUGUUAAAGCUUUUGUAUCAAAUCUACAACCAAAUAUGAUCAACAGCAAUGCCCUCUAAGAGUAUUACACUUCAGCUAUUAGUAAGGGCAACAAGUGAUCAGGUGGAUCAUGAUAUAAGAUUUUUUUUUCCCUUGCAAAUGCACAAGCAUUUUACCAACAGACGAAGACGUGUACCAUCUUUGAUAUGGCACAUAUGUUAUGGCUUAUUCAACCUUGGUAAAAAACGAGAUCAAGGCAAUUGGAAAAGCAAAAAAUCAUGGUGAAUGGGAUAUCAUGAUUCCAAUAGUGCAUUACAUUAUUUAAGUAAAGAGUCUGAAAUUAUUGAGCUUAGAAUCAUAGGAUGAACAAAGCUGGCAAUUUCUGACCCAGGUUCGCCACCUGCCACCCAUGCAAAAUAGCCAGAUAGAGGUAGGGAUUUUCUGUUACAAAGUGGAAUUGUAUCCAGCUAAACAACCCAAACUCUGCUGGAUCAAUCAACUCCAAGGGGUGUAAUUAAGGCUCUCAUGAUUAGAGUGGAAUUUAAUAAUCAAUUAUUUUAACAUUUUAAACCAUAUUAUUCAUAUUGGUUCAUUUUUUUCUUCAUAUCAUCUUAAUUUUAAAACAACUUUAUAUUUUAAAGCCAGUCAGUGGGUUAACCUGGGCCCAUAUUUUUCAGCCCAUUAAUAAUAAAAUAGAGCUUGAGCUAGAUACUCUUGGAUUCAACCCUACUUUAAAAACCCAUAAAUCCAAAUGCGACUUUGUGAAGCCUACAGAAGAUCCUAUUUCCCAACAAAUAAAAUCAUUAUAAAUUUCUAAAAUUCAUUAACUCCAACAAAUAAAAAUAAAAAUUAUGUCUUCUCAUUACUCAUAUAACAAUAUCAUACUCUCAGAAGUUUUUCUAAGAUCAUUUCCAGGAUCUAUUAACAGAUGCAUACAACAAAAACAUUUCUGCGUUAACAAACUCCAAAUAUCAUGACACCUACGGUCAUAUAUGGUAUUAAUAAAUGCAUAAUAGGACUUCAAACCAACUACUAGACAUUUUAACUCUAACAUAUGAUUAAAAAAAAUUCAGCAUACCCCAAAAGGUCCAAUAUACCUUGAGCAGCUUCUAACAUAUAUAUAGUUUUAGUGAUCCGUUAACUACAAACAGAACUAGAACUUAAUUAAAAUAUCUGCAAGAAGUAUAAAUAACUAAAAAUAUCACAUAUUUCCAGGAAAUAAUUAAAGGAUACGAACAGGAAGAGAACAUUAUUCACAAUCUGAAGAUUUUGUGAGAAGAGAGGGGAGAGCAUAUGUCCCACAAGUAUACAAAUGGAUAUAUGGAAAGAAAAACUAAUUAUGGCCAGUAGUGACUGCAUAAAUGUUUGAUUGUAAGUUCCUUGAUUGAUUAAAACAAGAAGUUCCAGCCAAUUAGAGAUAUUAAAAAAAAAAAAAAACUACUGAUGCAAUUCCAAGAAAACCGUAUAUCAGACAUUUUUGUUUUGGAUAUAUAAAUAAAAAAACAAUAUAUCAGACACAUGUUCAUACUUCAUAAAAGAAUAGUAUUUUAGAAAAAGGAGAAGUAUGAACAGAAGAAAGGAAUCUGAUUCUCACAUUGCCCACAAACACCGACCGUGAAUCAGCCUCCUCCUUGUUUGCUUGAGUAACAGCCGCACUAGCAGGAUCUAAGACAUGCACAUAAAUCAAAUGAGCAGGGUAUUUAAGUAAUAAACUUAAUUCCAAAGAUGUGUUAGUGCCACUGUUUGAAUAAUUGAGACUUAUAAUAAGCAAGUUGCUUCAAAUUGCUUUAAAGGAACAGAAAAUGAGCAGCAGCAUCCCCCUCGAUUCAAAUCAUUUACCAUUACAGAUCUACCAGGUAUUAACUGUACUAUGCCUUCCCAAGACUACUGUACUUCUUAUAGUGCAGCAAACUCAUUAACACAUCAGAAUAUAUAUAUAUAUAAGAGAUAAUCUAAAACAUCGUCUCUAACAUGAAUAUCAAACAAUUCAUCCAAUCAAUUAUUCAACAAAAUCAAAGAGAGCCAGAAUUAUCACCACCCAAAAUGCAUAAAAUACUACACAUGAUCAAACAGAAGCAGCAUCAAAACUGAAUCCUAAACCUUAAUGCCCCUUUGGUUGCUCAGACAAAGCAAGGGAAUUUAAAAGAAAAAAAAACCAACGGUUUUUUUUUUUUUUUUUUUUUGGCUGCGUGUUUUGGAUGAGAAAAUAGAAGCUGUGAUUAAGAGCACCUAACGACUAACGAGCUUAUGGGGUGAAACCCAAGUACACUGGGAGUACCCAGCGAGUGCAAAAGCAAAAAAAUAAAAAUAAGUACAAAAUAAAAACAUAACAGCACAAAAACCAGAACUAAGGGAAAGCGCCUAAACAACCUGUCUAUUAGUCAAUUGCUCAAAUGAAAUCCAUAAGGGAGAGGUCAAACCCCCAGGGGCCCUAGUCCAAUCAAACAACAUAGGAUUCAAAACUUCACUUUUUCAUCUUUUCCCAAAUUGCCGCAGCAACCAAACAAAGGACACCAGAUCCAAAACCCUAGAUUCUAAGAAACAAAGAGGAAGAAAAAAAGGGACCUUGAACAGCGCCCAUUUCCUUCUCCACUUUAGCUUGCAUCUCACGAAGAGCCGCUGCCUCCUCCUCCAUCUCCUUCAGCCUUUUCUUCAUCUCAUCCAGCUCCUGAUCAAAACCAGAUACAUAAAAUCGAAGCGAUUAGGUUUGUUUCAAGUCAUUAGGGUUUUGCUCUUCCUGUCAAAAUUGAAAGAAAGAAUGGAGGUAGAGAGAAAGGACCUUCACAGCGUCGUCGUCGUUGGUGGCCAUAUCGACGUCGGCGUUGUGAGCGUCCAUGUCUCCUUCCAUUUCGCCCUCGUCGGGGAUCUCUCCUCCGUACACCUCGUGCUCUUCUUCGUCCAUUUCACCGUUUUCUCUCUCUACAGAUGAGGUUAUUUGUAUAUAUAUAUACACGUGAGAAUUGAUAAUGCCAAGGCUAGAGCCAGGAUAGGAUGCUCAUGUAAUAACCUAGGAAGAACGACGACGUUUUGAAUAAAAGAGGAAAAACGUCGCCGUUUCAUCUGGUUUCCUGCUAUGAAGUGUCAAGCAUGAACCAUACAAAAUUUAAAAUACGAACGCCAAAAUCUUUAAGGUAAAAUUACCAAACAGGGUAAGGAAAAAAUAAAUAAGAAAAAGAUAUAAAAAUCAAGAAAAAUAGGUCAAAGGGAAAAUAAUAAUAAAAAUUAUACAAUUUUAUUAUAGGAAAUUAAAUUAUUUGAAACAUAUUUUUCUCAAAAAUAAAUUAAAAAAUUUUAGGUUUUUUUUUCCAAAAACCAGAAAAAGAAAAAAAUAACAAUUGUCAAUUUAUCUUUAAUAAAAAUUAAAAUCCUAAGAUUAGUGUGUUAUUUUAUGCAAGUAACAAUAAAUUUUAAUAAUUGUUCAUGAUUAAAUAAAAACUUUAUUACCCUAAUAAAAUGAGUAGUUAUUUUUUAUAGGCAUUUAUCAAUUGAAUAACACACAAAUAUUAGUAGAAAAAAAAUUAAAAAUUUUAAAUUAAAUUAUAUUAUAAUGUUAGUGUAUUUGUAAUAAAGGUAUAAUACAUUUAUAUGAUAUCUAUCUUUUACGAAUAAAUUAAUAAUUUUAGAAAUUCAUCCACAUUUUAGAUCGGUUUUGGCCUAUGAUUGGCCUUUAAAAAAAAUAAUAAAAAAAAUUAGUUUAAAAAAAAAAGUUCAAUGUAGCUCGUUUUAGCCACAUGGUUACAAUUUUUUUAUUAAUAAUGAAAUAAUAUAACUAUAUGAUAAUUUUAUAAAAUAAUACAUGUUUGUAUAAAUUACUUUUAAAAACAACUAAAAGAUAUAAAGUUUGUUUGGCAAUAGUUUUUUAUUUUAUAGAACAAAAAAACUAUAAAACACGUUUGAUAAUUAGAAAUUGUUUUCUAUUAUUAAAAAACAAAAAUAUGAUGUUUUUAGAUAAUAUAUUUUAAUUGUUUUCACUUAUUUUUUUAGAGGUGUUUUAAAAAACAAUUAUACAAACAUAUAUAUAUAUAUAUAUAUACAAUGAUUAAAACUAAACUUGUGGAUAUAAAAAAUAUUAAAAACAAGUUAAAAACAUUUUAGGUUCCAAAAUAGACUUUUGUUCUAUAAAAUAAUAGAGAACAAUUUUCAAAAAUGGUUCUUAAAAACUAUUUUUUAGAAUUGUUUUAAAAAAUAAUUGACAAUUAAGAUCAUAUUUACCGUUUGUAAUAAAUUUUUAUAUUUUAAAUCAUAAUUACUUGACUAAUCAGACAUUUAGGUUAAUAACGAGUGUGAAAAAUGGUAAAAGCAUAAGUAAAAAGUUGUACAAAAAUACAAGAUAUAUAGGAAUUAAUGGUAUCAUUAGAUUUACCUUGAAAAUAAUUUAUCUUUAAUAUUAACAAAAAUUUAAAACUACUAUUUAUUGGAAAUUUUAAAUAGUAAUUUAUAAUACUUUUAAUGAAUAUAUUUUUCUUGUUAAUUAAUUUUUAUAUUUUAAAAUAAUAUUAAUUAACAGAUCAACUAUUUUACACUAAAGAAAAAUAUGCAAGAACAAUAUGCAAUAUAUUUUAGAAUUAUUAUUUUUUUAAUAAAAGGGUCAAAGUUAUAAUAGUGUACUCUCGAUAACAUCAAAUAUAUACCUAAAAGUUUUUAAAAAAUUAUGAAUAUAAGUUUCAGAAAUUUUAUUUUUAAAAGAAUUUAAAAAUUUAAUUAAAAAUCUUUCAAUAGUUUUGGUAGAUUUUAUUUAUUUUUAUUUUUUUAUCCUAGAAAGGUUUAAGAAAAUUUAGAAAAUCUUUUAUAUAAAGUAACGUAAAAUUAUAUACAAGUUCUAUGAUGCGUGGAAACUUUCCAUGGCAUGGUACACAUGCAAGUACUUUUUAAAAUUAAAUUAAUAAUUUUUUUAUUUUUCCAAAACAUAUGAAAAUUGAUUGUGUACUAAAUCUGCCGCCAGGUGAAAUAUUGUGAUUUGAUUAAUUUUUAUGAUUGCAUGUGUGAAAAGAAGGCCAUGCAAAUCUGAAUUAUCAAAAAAGUUACAGGUAUUUACCUGCUAGGGCAUCAAGAAUAGUUGACUUGCCACAACCAGAAGGACCCAGUACCUCACCCGGUUGAGCAUACCCGGUGAGCCCCUGUAGAAUUGCUCGGCGUCCAUUCUUGCCAUCUGGCACGGUCACCCACAGGUCCUUCCAUGUCAAGAAUACACC
This 13008-nucleotide long non-coding RNA is filed under the name Vitis vinifera (wine grape). Its description in RNAcentral is "long non-coding RNA (VVIN_LNC007851)". The record is from RNAcentral. Lineage: Eukaryota; Viridiplantae; Streptophyta; Magnoliopsida; Vitales; Vitaceae.